RNAcentral lists this long non-coding RNA (488 nucleotides) under Melopsittacus undulatus (budgerigar). Its description in RNAcentral is "lncRNA (ENSMUNG00000017994.1)". The record is from RNAcentral. Lineage: Eukaryota; Metazoa; Chordata; Aves; Psittaciformes; Psittaculidae.
CACGCGGUCCCCGGCCAGGGAGCGCCCGGCCCCGCUGGGUUUUGUUUCUAACUCCGCCUCGGCACUUCUCUCGCCACCCUCCCCGCUAGCUCCCUCCCUAGCCCCGUCGCAGCCCCUGCGCUAGCCGGCAGUCCCCUCCCACGGCCGCGUUCAUUUCAUACCAACUCUCAUUCCUCGCAUUCCUCACUUCCUCCUUUCAAACUCCAGGGGAAAUAAAAACCCUCCCUUUUCCUUCCGAACUCCUGCCCGACCGCGGCCGCCGCUGCCGCCGCCCGGGUUCGCCGUCCCGCCGUCCGCUCCCGCGCUCCUCAGAAAGUCCUGGAGCAGAAGGAGGAGUUGGAGCGGGUCUCCGCUGCCCCUACGGAACAACAGCCGCUCUCGCCUUGCUCAGGUAAACUGGAGGCUUUUGAGUCUGGUGAGAUAUUUCAGAACUGCUGGCUUUCAGUUGGUAAGGAGCAAGUCUUUUUUAGGCUGACAUUAAAGGUUCC